This 501-nucleotide ribosomal RNA is filed under the name uncultured bacterium. RNAcentral describes it as "bacterial SSU rRNA". It matches the Rfam family "Bacterial small subunit ribosomal RNA", at positions 29 to 529 of the family's 1533-position model. The record is from RNAcentral.
AAUGAACGCUGGCGGCGUGCCUAACACAUGCAAGUCGAACGAGAAAACCCGCAAGGGUAAGUACAGUGGCGCACGGGUGAGUAAUACACAGGAAUCUGCCCUAGUGUGGAGAAUACCCUGGAGAAAUUCAGGUUAAUACUGCAUAAGCCCAGAAAUGGGGAAAGGUGGCCUCAAGCUACCGCACAAGGAUGAGCCUGUGGCCUAUUAGCUAGUUGGUGAGAUAAAAGCUUACCAAGGCGAAGAUGGGUAACCGGCCUGAGAGGGUGUACGGUCACACUGGAACUGAGACACGGUCCAGACUCCUACGGGAGGCAGCAGUGGGGAAUAUUGCACAAUGGGCGCAAGCCUGAUGCAGCGACGCCGCGUGGAGGACGAAGGUUUUCGAAUUGUAAACUCCUGUUAAGUGGGAAGAAAGACGCGUACCUAAUACGUACGUGGGAUGACGGUACCACUAGAGAAAGCACCGGCAAACUUCGUGCCAGCAGCCGCGGUAAUGUCGUC